This 94-nucleotide microRNA precursor is filed under the name Cebus imitator (Panamanian white-faced capuchin). RNAcentral's name for it is "miRNA (ENSCCAG00000031492.1)". The record is from RNAcentral. Lineage: Eukaryota; Metazoa; Chordata; Mammalia; Primates; Cebidae.
UGAGGCAGGAGAAUUGCUUGAACCCAGGAGGUGGAGGCUGCAGUGAGCCGAGAUCGCACCACUGCACUCCAGCCUGGGCAACAAAGCGAGACUC